GUACUUGCUCUGACAGCACAUAGACUAAAACUGGAAUGACACGGAGAUUAGUAUGGCCCUGGAGCAAGGAUGACACACAAAUUUGUGAAAUGUUCCAUAUUUUU
Small nuclear RNA from Pteropus vampyrus (large flying fox), 104 nucleotides. The record is from Ensembl. NCBI's taxonomy places the organism in Eukaryota, Metazoa, Chordata, Mammalia, Chiroptera, Pteropodidae.